RNAcentral lists this long non-coding RNA (1443 nucleotides) under Fragaria vesca (wild strawberry). RNAcentral describes it as "long non-coding RNA (FVES_LNC004237)". The record is from RNAcentral. Lineage: Eukaryota; Viridiplantae; Streptophyta; Magnoliopsida; Rosales; Rosaceae.
UUUCGUUGGCUAAAGUCUGUGACUUUAGCCGACGACUUUAAACAUUCUUUAGCCGACGAAUUUUUAAUUUCGUCGGCUAAAGUUGACUAUAGCCGACGAAAAUAAAUUUCGUCGGCUAAAGUUCUUUAUAUUCGCAGAUCUGGACAGCAGCUCAUCUGAGAAAAAAAAACGGGAGAAGAAAAAACGGGAGAAAAAGUUUGGGUGUUGUUGAAAUCUGUCCAUAAUUAAGAAGUGGAGCUAUAUAUAGGUACGUACAUGUGUAUAUAUGUUGAUUUUGAGUUUUAUUUGAGUUUAUCGAUUUUGAGUGUGAUUGAAUUGAUAGAUUUUGAGUACGUUUGAUGUAUAUAUAUAUGUGUGUGUUGAUCGAUAUGGUUGAUGAUUUGAUAAUAUAUAUGAAGUUGUUGUUAAUAAGUAGUAGAUAUAUAUAUAUAUGUUAAUUAAUUUAUAAUAUUGUGUUGAUGGUAUGAAUUUGUUGAUGAUGAUUUUGUGAUGAUGUUGAUAUAUAUAACAUUGUUAUGUAAUUAUUAAUUAAGUAUAUCUAUAUAUAUAUAUGUGUGUGUUAAUUAAUUUGUUAUCAAUUAAUUAGUUGUAGUACGUAGAAUAUAUAUAAAUGAAUUAAAAUUUUAUAUAUGACAUAGAAUUUAAUUAAUAAUUAGCUAGCGUUAUACAUAUAUAUUUUGUUAUAUUUUCAGGAUAUGGAUAAGAGUUGGAUUUCGCUUCCAAAAUGGGACAAAAGAUAUGGUAAAGGAAUUAUGAGUUUUCUGGAAUAUGCGCUGGCUAAUGCUAACGGGAAUACAAUUUUCUAUUGCCCGUGCACGAAAUGUCAGUGUCGCAACGAUAUGCAUCGAUUUGCGAUUGACAAAGUAUGGCAGCACUUGAAGAGUAACGGGUUUUGGGAGAAGUACACAUGUUGGUUAUAUCACGGUGAAACAUCAUCUGGGGGUCCGCAUGAUCAUGGCCAAUUUUCUGAGACGAGCAGUACAUCCAACGAUCCAACAACGGUCUUCAUCAACGACAUGUUUCCUUAUGAGAGCGAUGUAUGCGCUCAAGGACAGUAUAUGCCUAACCCGGUGCAGCCCUUCCCUAGAGCUGUCAACACUGCUGGUAUUGACAAGUACAACAAACUGCUUGCUUUCCAACAGGCCCUUGUGUACCCCGGUUGUCAGAAGACCGUUCUUGAAAGUGUGAUGGACGUAAUGAAGAUUAAAGUUGAGACUAAAUCGACUGUGAAAGCUGUUAAUGAUUAUCUACAGUACACUGCUUCGAUGCUGCCUCACGGUCAUCGUCUUCCUACCACUCAUCAUAAGGUCCGAUGUAUCCUGAAAGAUCUUGGGCUUUCCUACAUCAAGAUCCAUGCAUGCAGAUAUGACUGCGUUCUCUUUUGGGGUAAAGAUCCAGAAGGGAAUGACCUUGGUGGCCUUGACGCAUGUCCGGUAUGUCACA